RNAcentral lists this transfer RNA (77 nucleotides) under Thiothrix nivea DSM 5205. RNAcentral describes it as "tRNA-Arg". It matches the Rfam family "tRNA". From Rfam's summary of the family: Transfer RNA (tRNA) molecules are approximately 80 nucleotides in length. Lineage: Bacteria; Pseudomonadati; Pseudomonadota; Gammaproteobacteria; Thiotrichales; Thiotrichaceae. The record is from RNAcentral.
GCGCCCGUAGCUCAAUUGGAUAGAGCAACGGCCUUCUAAGCCGUAGGUUGCAGGUUCGAGCCCUGCCGGGCGUGCCA